This 494-nucleotide ribosomal RNA is filed under the name uncultured bacterium. RNAcentral's name for it is "partial 16S ribosomal RNA". It matches the Rfam family "Bacterial small subunit ribosomal RNA", at positions 28 to 507 of the family's 1533-position model. The record is from RNAcentral.
GACGAACGCUGGCGGCGCGCUUAACACAUGCAAGUCGAACGGAAAGGCCUGCUUUCCCUUGUGGAUUGCGGGUACUCGAGUGGCGAACGGGUGAGUAACACGUGAGUGAUCUGCCCCCAACUUGGGUAUAAGCCUGGGAAACUGGGUCUAAUUCCCGAUAGGACUGCAGGGUGGUGCCUGUGGUGGAAAACGAUUUUCUAGUGGUUGGGGAUGAGCUCGCGGCCUAUCAGCUUGUUGGUGGGGUAAUGGCCUACCAAGGCGGCGACGGGUAGCCGGCCUGAGAGGGUGGACGGCCACAUUGGGACUGAGAUACGGCCCAGACUCCUACGGGAGGCAGCAGUGGGGAAUAUUGCACAAUGGGCGGAAGCCUGAUGCAGCGACGCCGCGUGGGGGAUGACGGCCUUCAGGUUGUAAACUCCUUUCGACCGCGAGGAAGCCACCUGGUUGGAAGGGUGGUGACGGUAGUGGUAGAAGAAGCACCGGCUAACUACGUG